UACGGGGGGAGCAAGCGUUGUUCGGAUUUACUGGGCGUAAAGGGCGCGUAGGCGGCCACUGCAAGUCGGUUGUGAAAUCUCCGGGCUUAACCCGGAAAGGUCAACCGAUACUGCAGGGCUAGAGUGCGGAAGGGGCAACUGGAAUUCUCGGUGUAGCGGUGAAAUGCGUAGAUAUCGAGAGGAACACCUGCGGCGAAGGCGGGUUGCUGGGCCGACACUGACGCUGAUGCGCGAAAGCUAGGGGAGCGAACGGG
RNAcentral lists this ribosomal RNA (254 nucleotides) under uncultured bacterium. Its description in RNAcentral is "partial 16S ribosomal RNA". It matches the Rfam family "Bacterial small subunit ribosomal RNA", at positions 524 to 776 of the family's 1533-position model. The record is from RNAcentral.